GGGCGCGUAGCUCAGUUGGUUAGAGCACUUCACUGAUAAUGAAGAGGUCCGUGGUUCAACUCCACGCGCGCCCACCA
RNAcentral lists this transfer RNA (77 nucleotides) under Candidatus Veblenbacteria bacterium. RNAcentral describes it as "tRNA-Ile". It matches the Rfam family "tRNA". Rfam says of the family: Transfer RNA (tRNA) molecules are approximately 80 nucleotides in length. Lineage: Bacteria; Candidatus Vebleniibacteriota. The record is from RNAcentral.